GCACUGCUGAGGAGUCUCACUAUAGGACGAAACAACUGUCCAGUGC
This 46-nucleotide non-coding RNA is filed under the name Schistosoma mansoni. The record is from RNAcentral. Lineage: Eukaryota; Metazoa; Platyhelminthes; Trematoda; Strigeidida; Schistosomatidae.